AUUGAACGCUGGCGGCAUGCUUUACACAUGCAAGUCGAACGGUAACAGGCCUUCGGGUUCUGACGAGUGGCGGACGGGUGCGUAAUGCAUCGGAACGUGCCCAGAGCUGGGGUAUAGCGCAGCGUAAGGUAUGCUAAUACCGCAUGUGAUCUGAGGCUGAAAGCGGGGGACCGAGCAGGAAUGUUUGGCCUCGCGCGUCUGGAGCGGCCGAUGUCGGAUUAGGUAGUUGGUGGGGUAAAGGCCUACCAAGCCGACGAUCUGUAGCUGGUCUGAGAGGACGACCAGCCACACUGGGACUGAGACACGGCCCAGACUCCUACGGGAGGCAGCAGUGGGGAAUUUUGGACAAUGGGCGCAAGCCUGAUCCAGCAAUGCCGCGUGCGGGAAGAAGGCCUUCGGGUUGUAAACCGCUUUUGUACGGAACGAAAAGGCUCUGGCUAAUACCUGGGGGUGAUGACGGUACCGUAAGAAUAAGCACCGGCUAACUACGUG
This 492-nucleotide ribosomal RNA is filed under the name uncultured bacterium. RNAcentral's name for it is "partial 16S ribosomal RNA". It matches the Rfam family "Bacterial small subunit ribosomal RNA", at positions 30 to 507 of the family's 1533-position model. The record is from RNAcentral.